CUGGAGGUGCUAACCUAGGAAGAAUUGGUGUGAUCACCAACAGAGAGAGGCACCCUGGAUCUUUUGACGUGGUUCACGUGAAAGAUGCCAAUGGCAACAGCUUUGCCACUCGACUUUCCAACAUUUUUGUUAUUGGCAAGGGCAACAAACCAUGGAUUUCUCUUCCCCGAGGAAAGGGUAUCCGCCUCACCAUUGCUGAAGAGAGAGACAAAAGACUGGCGGCCAAACAGAGCAGAGUCUGUGAGCCACUUCACUACAAGAACUUGGAGUCCUCGCCUUUGCAUUCCCGGUGCCGGGCAAAGUGCCCACCUCCAAAGGUGCCCAGUAAAUAUCGAAUGAAAUGCCUUCAUAUGAUCCGUCCAGAAGAACGUUGGAGUUUCCAGAACCAAAUUAGGAGGACUGAGCCUUCUUCAGUCCCUAAUUCAGGAGCACCACCUCUCUGCUUUCCCCCACCUCUCCCUGAAACCCCAGCCUUGCCGUGGCUGUUUGUUGUGCCCGGCCUCCUUCCCUGCCUCUCAGAGUCCUCUCUCCCUUCCCCCAUCCGCCCCCUGCUCGCCCGCCUGAGUACAGGCUAUUAUCUGGGGGUGGUAAUUAUUGCGAGCAAAU
Molecule: small RNA, 606 nt
Filed under: Pan troglodytes (chimpanzee)
Lineage: Eukaryota; Metazoa; Chordata; Mammalia; Primates; Hominidae
Description: processed transcript
Source: RNAcentral